Molecule: long non-coding RNA, 401 nt
Organism: Bombina bombina (fire-bellied toad)
Lineage: Eukaryota; Metazoa; Chordata; Amphibia; Anura; Bombinatoridae
Exons: 3
Source: RefSeq, a predicted model, not a curated record
CCCACCCUUGUGAGUCAGAAUUGUAUCACGAAGCACAUAAGUAAAGCUAGCGAUUAGGAUACUGUGUUAGCUGGCAGGGUUGACGAGGAUAUUGCUAUGUUCCCUCUGGAUUUUAUUCUUGUAAUGAAAAAAGACUGACUCUGCCUUAGGAAACGGAGACAAAAUAAUGAAAAAAGUGCACCAGGACUCUUGAUAAGACACUGUUUGGGGUUAAAACAACAGCCAGUCUCAUGUUUUCUCCUGACCAAGAGAACCACCCCGCUAAAGCACCUGUGAAGUACGGGGAACUCAUUGUAUUAGGUUCUGAUAUGAAGUUGUAAAUAGCAGACAUGGAAAUACAGGACACAAAAAGAAAAGACAAAGAAAAUUAACCCCUGACAUUCUAAAAUCAUGACAUCUUC